RNAcentral lists this ribosomal RNA (253 nucleotides) under uncultured bacterium. RNAcentral's name for it is "partial 16S ribosomal RNA". It matches the Rfam family "Bacterial small subunit ribosomal RNA", at positions 524 to 776 of the family's 1533-position model. The record is from RNAcentral.
UACAGAGGGGGCAAGCGUUGUUCGGAAUUACUGGGCGUAAAGCGCACGUAGGCGGAUUUGUAAGUCAGGGGUGAAAUCCCGGGGCUCAACCUCGGAACUGCCUUUGAUACUGCAAAUCUCGAGUCCGGAAGAGGUGAGUGGAAUUCCUAGUGUAGAGGUGAAAUUCGUAGAUAUUAGGAAGAACACCUGCGGCGAAGGCGGGUUGCUGGGCUGACACUGACGCUGAGGCGCGAAAGCUAGGGGAGCAAACGGG